GAGCAAUGCCACAAUCAUCGAUGAAAAGGUCCUCAACGAGUGCCUCAAUGAGAUCACCCGUGCUCUUCUACAGGCCGAUGUUCAAUUUAAGCUAGUUCGUGAUAUGUCAACAAAUAUCAAGAAGAUUGUCAAUCUUGAAGAUCUUGCCGCUGGACACAACAAGCGUAGGAUUAUUCAACAGGCUGUGUAUAAUGAGCUCUGCAAGAUAUUGGAUCCUGGGAAACCUGCAUUUACACUUAAAAAAGGGAAACCUAGUGUUGUAAUGUUUGUUGGUUUGCAAGGGUCUGGAAAAACUACAACGUGUACAAAAUAUGCUUACCACCACCAGAAAAGGGGUUGGAAGCCGGCUCUAGUCUGUGCAGAUACCUUCAGAGCUGGUGCUUUCGAUCAAUUGAAGCAGAAUGCUACAAAAGCUAAAAUUCCUUUUUAUGGAAGCUAUACAGAAUCAGAUCCAGUGAAAAUAGCCGUGGACGGUGUAGAAACAUUUAAGAAGGAAAAUUGUGAUCUAAUAAUUGUGGAUACCAGUGGGCGCCACAAACAAGAAGCAGCUCUUUUUGAAGAAAUGCGACAAGUUUCUGAAGCAACGAAACCGGAUCUCGUGAUUUUUGUUAUGGAUAGUAGUAUUGGACAAGCUGCUUUUGAUCAAGCUCAAGCAUUUCGACAAAGUGUUGCGGUUGGAGCCGUGAUUGUUACUAAGAUGGAUGGCCAUGCAAAAGGAGGUGGUGCCCUAAGUGCAGUUGCUGCAACUAAAAGUCCAGUCAUAUUUAUUGGAACUGGUGAACACAUGGACGAGUUUGAAGUUUUUGAUGUUAAGCCAUUUGUCAGCCGUCUUUUAGGCAUGGGUGACUUGUCUGGAUUGGUGAACAAGAUACAAGAUGUGGUCCCAAUGGAUCAACAGCCUGAGCUUCUUCAGAAGUUAUCAGAAGGACAUUUUACCUUGAGGAUCAUGUACGAGCAAUUUCAGAGCAUGCUUAAAAUGGGUCCCCUUGGACAGGUUUUUUCAAUGCUUCCUGGAUUUAGUGCAGAGAUGAUGCCACAAGGUCGUGAAAAGGAAAGUCAAGCAAAGUUUAAAAGGUAUAUGACAAUGAUGGACUCCAUGACUGAUGAAGAAUUGGACAGUACCAAUCCAAAGAUUUUGACUGAAUCUCGGAUCAUGCGUAUAGCUAGGGGAUCUGGCCGCCUCGUGCAUGAGGUGAUGGAGAUGUUGGAAGAAUACAAACGACUUGCCAAAAUAUUCAGCAAGAUGAAGGGUCUUAAGAUUCCAAAGAAGGGAGAUAUGAGCUCCCUGUCGAGAAACAUGAAUGCACAAAACAUGAGCAAAGUCCUCCCCCCUCAGAUGUUGAAGCAGAUCGGUGGAAUGGGUGGUUUGCAGAACUUAAUGAAGCAAAUGGGUUCCGCCAAGGACAUGAUGGGUAUGUUUGGUGGUGGUGGUGGAGAGUAAUAAUGGAAUCACAAUUGAACUACAGUUUACGUCGUCAAUUCAUAGUUGGUGGAAAUAGCAUGUAACCAAAUCUCUGUCACUCCCUAUCUUUCAAAUUUUGAAUCUGAUGCAUUUGGUAAAUUUAUUUGAUUCAGAAUGAAACACUGUAUGGUUUUGAUGCUCCACUUCAUGCUAUGCUUGUAUGACAUGAUCUCUUCAUACGCUGCUUGUAAAUUU
This 1657-nucleotide unclassified non-coding RNA is filed under the name Hevea brasiliensis (rubber tree). The record is from RNAcentral. Lineage: Eukaryota; Viridiplantae; Streptophyta; Magnoliopsida; Malpighiales; Euphorbiaceae.